Molecule: ribosomal RNA, 104 nt
Filed under: uncultured bacterium
Lineage: Bacteria
Description: partial 16S ribosomal RNA
Rfam family: Bacterial small subunit ribosomal RNA
Source: RNAcentral
CCUUGUACACACCGCCCGUCACGUCAUGAAAGUUGGGAACACCUGAAGUCGCUGGGCCGACCGCAAGGAGGUAGGCGCCGAGGGUGGGUCCGAUGAUUGGGACG